UAUACCAGCAAAUUUCUGGUGUUGUUUUAGGUCAUUACGGGAUCCACGUUUGGUUAGCCAAGCAGACUAUUGAUUCCAUUCCUAGGAAGCCACACAGCUGCACAUCCCAUCCUGUGACUUCACCAUCUCGGCG
RNAcentral lists this long non-coding RNA (133 nucleotides) under Fukomys damarensis (Damara mole-rat). Its description in RNAcentral is "lncRNA (ENSFDAG00000028702.1)". The record is from RNAcentral. Lineage: Eukaryota; Metazoa; Chordata; Mammalia; Rodentia; Bathyergidae.